GCUGCUGUCACUAGAGCCCCUUGCUGGUUUCAUUGAUCGAUUCGGUGUGAGUAGGUCGGUUCUGUUCAGGUGCCUGAUGAGAAAGGAAGAUCGAAGCCUUCAUUGCUGAACUUUUCCAUCCUCUGUUGGAAGGAGGAAGGGACCAGGUGAAACCCCGCUGCAGCUGCCAUGCCAACACUUAAACUUUGUGUACUGCAAGCCACCAUCACGUCAGAGAAGAUGCACCAGGCACAAGACCAUGAGGACAUCGGAUCCAAAGAGAGUAAGCUGGGAGUAUAAAGCAGAAUGGAACCAAAUUCAUCCACUGCAGUUGACGGUUACACUAGGGUCUGAAUUUGGCCCAGUGCAUUUAACCACCUUCACCAUGUUCCUGUGA
RNAcentral lists this long non-coding RNA (376 nucleotides) under Chrysemys picta bellii (western painted turtle). RNAcentral describes it as "lncRNA (ENSCPBG00000027277.1)". The record is from RNAcentral. Lineage: Eukaryota; Metazoa; Chordata; Testudines; Emydidae.